AUUGAACGCUGGCGGCAUGCCUUACACAUGCAAGUCGAACGGUAACAGGUCUUUCGGGAUGCUGACGAGUGGCGAACGGGUGAGUAAUACAUCGGAACGUGCCUAGUAGUGGGGGAUAACUUCUCGAAAGAGUGGCUAAUACCGCAUGAGAUCUAUGGAUGAAAGCAGGGGACCUUCGGGCCUUGUGCUACUAGAGCGGCCGAUGGCAGAUUAGGUAGUUGGUGGGAUAAAAGCUUACCAAGCCUACGAUCUGUAGCUGGUCUGAGAGGACGAUCAGCCACACUGGGACUGAGACACGGCCCAGACUCCUACGGGAGGCAGCAGUGGGGAAUUUUGGACAAUGGGCGCAAGCCUGAUCCAGCAAUGCCGCGUGCAGGAUGAAGGCCUUCGGGUUGUAAACUGCUUUUGUACGGAACGAAAAGUCUUGGGUUAAUACCCUGGGAUCAUGACGGUACCGUAAGAAUAAGCACCGGCUAACUACGUGCCAGCAGCCGCGGUAA
This 500-nucleotide ribosomal RNA is filed under the name uncultured bacterium. Its description in RNAcentral is "partial 16S ribosomal RNA". It matches the Rfam family "Bacterial small subunit ribosomal RNA", at positions 30 to 523 of the family's 1533-position model. The record is from RNAcentral.